Molecule: RNA transcript, 1390 nt
Organism: Cucurbita moschata (crookneck pumpkin)
Lineage: Eukaryota; Viridiplantae; Streptophyta; Magnoliopsida; Cucurbitales; Cucurbitaceae
Exons: 7
Source: RefSeq, a predicted model, not a curated record
UGAUUGGGCUAUUUUUCACCAUCCAUCGAGAGCCAGAGGGCGAAGAACAAAACAUGGCAACGCUUUACCAAGAUGCCGAAGCUUGGAACGUAGUAAGCCGUUUCCGGAGGCUAUCAAAUGUCCAAUCCAUGGCGUCGAGUACUGUUCUUGACUACGACGAAGAUGAUAAUGCCACUUCGCCUACCAUCUCUGUGAUGGCAAGUUGUUGCGUGUGAUUGAUCAUUUGCCUAUCUAUAAUUUUUGUGAUUUUUCCGUUUUGAUGUUCGGCGGACAAAUGUGAGGUCUACUUGCGGCAAGAAUCUUCCCGCGAGAAAAAUGCGAGUGGUGGAUUCGGAUUUUCGACCGAAGAACCUGGAAUCUACACGGCCUGUUUCGCGGAAGAUGGCGGCAACCGCGACGGAGAGGAGAGCAGCUCCCAUGAUUUAAAUAGCCUCGCAGCUGGGGGAUUCAAAAUCGAAAGAAUCCAAUUCCAAUUUCCAAUCUCCGGCAACGCGAGAUUCACCUGUAAGAAUGAUAUCUAUAGCCGCUAUGAUAGUCCCUCGACCUUCUUCUUCAUAAUUACUGCUCAAAGCGCAAACAGCCCGUCGGAUUUUGACUCCUUCGGCUUCAUCAUCGCAAACUGAUUCUUUACUUGAAGCCCGGAUGCUGUUUGUGCGAUGAUCUCAAAGAAAAACUGCAAGCCGCCUAUCUGAUCGCCGGCUCCGAUUCUCUCCACGAUGUGAGGGAUAUCACUACUAACCCAGAAUGGGAGAGAGCUGACCAGUAUGGGAUUCCCGUGCUCGCGAAAGUGCUCUCCAAUGGCUCGGAGAAAGGGUUUGCAAAAGAAGGUAGAAGGCCGUGGAGGGGAAAAAGGGCAGAAAAGUAGAGAUUUUGACCUGGUCAAAAGUUGCAAACAUGAACAAACACAACAUUCAUUUGAAGGUUUUGUAGGUUUCUUAUCUCCACAUGAUUACCAGAGUUCCAAACUUCUCAAAAAAGAAAAGGCCAUGAUAGUUCUGUUCAUGAAGGGGAGGAUCAUUCAUUUACCCGACUUCCCCGGCCGACCACGCCAUCCGUUUUGGUAAACCUCAAAUUUAACUGUUAGAUUCUGUUUGUUCUUUAUGAUUGCUUGAUUGAUGAUUCUGAAUCUCCCAAUGGCAAAUGAAUCUCCUGUACUCUUUUUGAAAUCUGAUUCAAGAUUUACCUUGCCACACUCAAGCUAGGCUGUUUUGCUUUCCUCAAUUGCUCCUCUGACUGGCUUUACCGUGUCAAUCAAUCACCAAACACUUGCUGCCAAAACAAAGGCGCUUUUUGCUUUCUUUCUUUUGGGUGUAUUGCAAUGACAAGGGGAGGUUUCCAUACCUUUAUAAAGAAUGCUUUGUUCUCCUCUUCAAUUGUUGUGUGAUCUCAC